Non-coding RNA from Pantoea sp., 76 nucleotides. NCBI's taxonomy places the organism in Bacteria, Pseudomonadati, Pseudomonadota, Gammaproteobacteria, Enterobacterales, Erwiniaceae. The record is from Rfam.
ACGUUGAUAGGCCGGGUGUGUAAGCGCAGCGAUGCGUUGAGCUAACCGGUACUAAUGACCCGUGAGGCUUAACCUU